RNAcentral lists this long non-coding RNA (2712 nucleotides) under Sus scrofa (pig). Its description in RNAcentral is "lncRNA (ENSSSCG00015055775.1)". Lineage: Eukaryota; Metazoa; Chordata; Mammalia; Artiodactyla; Suidae. The record is from RNAcentral.
GGGCCACACCGUGGCAGAUGGAGGUUCCCAGGCUAGGGGUCCAAUUGGAACUGUAGCCACCGGCCUAUGCCAAAGUCACAGCAACACAGUAUCCAAGCUGCGUCUGCAACCUACACCACAGCUCACAGCAAUGCUGGAUCCUUAACCCACUGAGCAAACCCACGUCCUCAUGGAUGCUAGUCAGGUUCACUAACUGCUGAGUCACGACAGGAACUGCCCUCUCCUCCAGUUCAAAGAAGAGCAACCACUGGGUGAGAGACAGAAAUCAUGUACACAACUGACCCUGCACUGAACACUAGGUUAAUAAACUCAUCUAUUCCUGGGGUAGGGCAAGAAACUUACUUGGGCCCAGAAUUUUGCAGUGAUGCCAAUACAAGGUCAGUCAUACCAACAGAGGAUAAGAAACUCACUGGCAAAAUAGCCUACUACUGACAUAAGGCAGAGUUUGUGUCAAAAGAACAGACACUGGGAGUUCCCGUUGUGGUGCAGUGGUUAACGAAUCCAACUAGGAACCAUGAGGUUGAGGGUUCGAUCCCUGCCCUUGCUCAGUGGGUUAACGAUCCGGCGUUGCCGUGAGCUGUGGUGUAGGUUGCAGACGCGGCUCGGAUCCGGCGUUGCUGUGGCUCUGGCCAGCUGACCUACACCACAGCCACAGCAACCCAUUUCUGAGCCGCAUGUAUGACCUACACCACAGCUCACAGCAACACUGGAUCCUUAACCCACUGAGCGGGGCCAGGGAUCGGACCCAGGUCCUCAUGGAUACAACUCAGGUUUGUUAACAGCUGAGCCGUGACGGGAACUCCACACCUGGUGUACUCUUCAAGAAAGGGAUGAUAAAGAAGAGUGUCACAGAAAGCUGGCAAGGUGUGUGUGUGUGACAUGGAAAGAGUUAUACUGAUGAGCUAGUUUGAGUCUGUUCCUUUGCUCCUGCAAGCGUAGAGUAUGGAAGCAGUGUGUGAAAAAAAAAAAUGUUUGUUUCUUAACCGGAGAAAACGUAGCUGGGGAGAAAUUAUGUCAAUUAUUAGUGUUGGUAAUUUUCUCAAAAAUGUGUUUUAAAAAAAUGUACGUGGCAGAAAAUGUGUGCAUAUAAAUAAAACAUGUGCAAUAAAUUUGCAAAUACCCAUUUAAGAUCUCCAUCAUCAACCUCUCUUAAUUGUGCAGUGUUGUGUUGCAACCACGUUUCAGUCUAACCAAGAGACCAAGCCAUAAAUCAGGCAUAGCUUAAUCAACAAAAUCUUGGCUUAACCAGGGAUUUGCAGUUCAAUAGACUGUUCUAAAUUAUAGUACAACAGCACAAAUUUAAUGAUUCCAUAAAAAAAAAUUUAAGGGCAUUUUUAAUGACCACUUGAUAGAAGUUUCAGUUGACUCACUGAAGAAGUAGCCUGGAGGUUUAUAAUCUCUAAAUAAUCCUUGUUGAUCUUUAUUUUCUAUUUUCUGUAAAUGAUCUUGGAAACUGUAUUUUCAUGUCGUUUUCUGUGGAAAAGCUCAGAUACUUCACCUGCAUUAUAUAAAUGUUAAUGUCAGUAGCUUUUAUACCAGCUACAGAGAGACUUUUUUUAAGAGUGACUUUCUCAAGGUCAUAGAGCAAAUCUCUAGUGAGACAGGAAUGGAAUUCAUGACCUUUGACUGCCAGAAGUUUUCUACCCACACUCGGAAAUUCCUUCUCCAUAAGUGUAAUUUAUAUGCUCACUUUGAGAGGCUGGAAAGUUCAUCCCUUUUAGGGCAGGGGGUGGGGGAUGGGGCUUGGUUUUCCUGCCAAAUCAAUUGCCACACCGGCACUGCAGAGUCUCACAAAGUGAUUUUUACCUAUGUUAUUUCAUCGUACCCUCACCACAACCCUGGAAACUGCAUAUUAUUUUUCCCAUUUUACAGACAUAGAGGAGUUAAGAAAUUGAACCAAGGUCAUCCAGAGUUAGUAAGCAAGAGAGCCUGACUCAAACGGCGCUAUCUCUGCCACUUAAAUCAGUGCUGAUUCCAGGAUGUACAAUCUUAGCAGAUACCCGAUUACGAAAUGAAUGAAGGUUUUCUUUACAGAUAUUUAUGCCAUUUUUUUACAAUCAUUUACCUUGGUUCUCAUUUAGGUCUGUGGGUUUGUUUUCUUUGGGGAACGGUUGAUUUCAGGUUUUGUUAGAAGUUUGCUUGUGAAACUAAAGUGGGAACACUACUACUAAAUAAAGAACUUGAAAAAAAAAAAAACAAAACAAACAAACUUUGCCUGUUUUCCUCCUUUUUUAUUCAAGUGGGUAGGGGGCUCUUUACCAUAAUUCAUGGUCAUCAUGUGAACGGUGUAGGUAUGGGGUGUAUACCAAUAUAACUAGAGAAUACAAAAACUCACAUUCAUAAAUACAAAAUAUUAUGUAAUAUAAUAAAUAUAAAUACUAUGCAUAUACACACAUCUAAAAUAGAGAAUAUAUUUAUAUAUGUAGUAUAUACAGAUAUAUCACGCCAGCAAUCAUUGCGAAAAGCCAUAUACACCGUUAAGCAUGGUGAAUGAAGCACAGGAAACACAAUCCCUGGAUGUGGAGGCCAGCAAAGCUGUAAUAGCGGCAGCUUCUAGUGCCUCUGAUGGGGGUGGGAAAUCUAUCCCAAAGCUCUGCAAUUUUUUUCCCCUCAUCUUCCACAUAGCAACACAGCAGCAAGGGCUUUCCGCUGCUGCAUCUGUCACUAAAAAGCAACACUGUUUGGACCCGUCCAAUUAUUACGCCUGUAAUA